Long non-coding RNA from Rhopalosiphum padi (bird cherry-oat aphid), 1182 nucleotides. RefSeq lists it as uncharacterized. The record is from RefSeq and is a predicted model, not a curated record. Lineage: Eukaryota; Metazoa; Arthropoda; Insecta; Hemiptera; Aphididae. The transcript is spliced from 5 exons.
GAAUUUGUCAUGGAGCUGAUGGAAAAUGUGUCGGCACUCGGCUGUAUUUCAACACGGAGGACGUCUGGCAGCAGCAAAAAGAUAUUCAACUGACGAUAAUCAACUGUCGAAAGGAUUUGUUGUGAAGAAGAAUUUGUCACAAAGCUGAUGGGAAAAGUGUCGGCACUCGGCUGUAUUUCAACACGGAGGACGUCUAGCAGCAGCAAAAAGAAAUUCAACUGACGAUAAUCUACUGUCGAAAGUAUUUUGAAGAAGAAUUUGUCAUUGAGCUGAUGGAAAAUGUGUCGGCACUCGGCUUCGUUUCAACACGGAGGACGUCUGGCAGCAGCAAAAAGAUAUUCAACUGACGAUAAUCAACUGUCGAAAGGAUUUGUUGUGAAGAAGAAUUUGUCACAAAGCUGAUGGGAAAUGUGUCGGCACUCGGCUGUAUUUCAACACGGAGGACGUCUAGCAAUAGCAAAAAGAAAUUCAACUGACGAUAAUCUACUGUCGAAAUGAAGAAGAAUUUGUCACAAAGCUGAUGGGAAAAGUGUCGGCACUCGGCUUCAUUUCAACCUGGAGGAAGAUUGGCAGAAUUAUAGUAUAAGUUUUCCCCUUACGCAUUAGCGCUCAUCUCUCAUCCACUCAUCCAACACACAUUGACUAUCGCCGGCCGGCAACACACACAUAUUAUACACAUUAUCCGUUUUAUAUUAUAUAGAAUUAUUAAUAUCUACAUAUAGUUUAAGUUAUUGUAUAUUUUUUUUUAUUAUUUGAAUGCAUUUAUAUGAUCAGUUGCGUAUUUAGAAAUUGUAUGAUAAGGGCAACACAUAUUUUGCUGCCUCCCUCCCAUUAAAAAAAAAAUUAAAAUGCCUCGCAUUGGUCAAACUGUUAAUACCAUAGAAUACCGUGUUAGAUACUUAUAUAAACAUUAUAGUAUUUUACACCUCUAUGGCACACAUUUGUUGUGAAUAAUAUUAAUGAUUGACGUCACUGCGCCAGUACUCAUAAAGUACGAAAUAAAAUUUUGCUGCCCCUCUAAAUCUUUAAAAAUACGCCCCUGCAUAUAAUGCGUUCUCGCUUACGAUGUGGAUUAGGCCUACUGGGGACACCACAAUAAAAAAACGCGCCUCGUGUAAUACCUCAUAAAGUUAUUAAACAAUACGGACAAUGUUAUUGCACGUCGUUUAAUAAUAAAGGUGG